RNAcentral lists this ribosomal RNA (253 nucleotides) under uncultured bacterium. RNAcentral describes it as "partial 16S ribosomal RNA". It matches the Rfam family "Bacterial small subunit ribosomal RNA", at positions 524 to 776 of the family's 1533-position model. The record is from RNAcentral.
UACGAAGGGGGCUAGCGUUGUUCGGAAUCACUGGGCGUAAAGGGCGCGUAGGCGGCUGUUCAAGUCGGGGGUGAAAGCCUGUGGCUCAACCACAGAAUUGCCUUCGAUACUGGACGGCUUGAGACCGGAAGAGGUCAGUGGAACUGCGAGUGUAGAGGUGAAAUUCGUAGAUAUUCGCAAGAACACCAGUGGCGAAGGCGGCUGACUGGUCCGGUUCUGACGCUGAGGCGCGAAAGCGUGGGGAGAAAACAGG